GAUAACAGCAGUUUUGAGCCUUCAACUAACAAUCAUUUAAUUCAAAGACAUGAAACACUAUUCCCAUUCUUCAUCUUCCAAGGGAGAUAGAUACACUUAAUAGACUGAACAGUCUUAGCAGCUUCAUGGUUGACACUCUUCAAUAAACCUUCUUCUUUACCCUCACCCGGUGUCAGGGACACAGGAGGCUCCAGUUGAGUGCAAUAAAUGGAGAGGCCCUCCGCAGAACAUCCUA
This is a long non-coding RNA of Helicoverpa zea (corn earworm), 235 nucleotides long. RefSeq lists it as uncharacterized. NCBI's taxonomy places the organism in Eukaryota, Metazoa, Arthropoda, Insecta, Lepidoptera, Noctuidae. The record is from RefSeq and is a predicted model, not a curated record. The transcript is spliced from 2 exons.